Molecule: ribosomal RNA, 452 nt
Filed under: uncultured Anaerolineaceae bacterium
Lineage: Bacteria; Bacillati; Chloroflexota; Anaerolineae; Anaerolineales; Anaerolineaceae
Description: bacterial SSU rRNA
Rfam family: Bacterial small subunit ribosomal RNA
Source: RNAcentral
GGCCCGCACAAGCAGCGGAGCGUGUGGUUUAAUUCGAUGUUACACGAAGAACCUUACCAGGGUUUGACAUGCAAGUGGUAGGAAGCCGAAAGGUGACCGACCCUUCGGGGAGCUUGCACAGGUGCUGCAUGGCUGUCGUCAGCUCGUGUCGUGAGAUGUUCGGUUAAGUCCGCUAACGAGCGCAACCCUCGCUGUGUGUUAUAUGUGUCACACGGGACUGCCGGUCUUAAGCCGGAGGAAGGUGGGGAUGAUGUCAAGUCAGCAUGGCCUUUAUAUCCUGGGCUACACACACGCUACAAUGGUCGAGACAACGCGUUGCAAACCAGUAAUGGUAAGCUAAUCGCAUAAAAUCGACCUCAGUACGGAUUGAGGGUUGCAAUUCACCCUCAUGAAGCUGGAGUUGCUAGUAACCGCAGGUCAGCUAUACUGCGAUGAAUACGUUCCCGGGGCUU